RNAcentral lists this long non-coding RNA (318 nucleotides) under Canis lupus familiaris (dog). RNAcentral describes it as "lncRNA (ENSCAFG00845029378.1)". Lineage: Eukaryota; Metazoa; Chordata; Mammalia; Carnivora; Canidae. The record is from RNAcentral.
AUACCAUAUACAUUACAGACUCAAAUUCUAAGAACCUCCUAUAACUUGUUUUGCUUUAUUGUUUUUUCUAGACUGUGCUCCUUGUGAGUAGAAAGUGAACAAGCACCAGUAACAGAACUUGGAUAACUUGGUGCCCUGGGAAAUAUAGUUGAAUAAAUGACCACAAGGCUAUGAAUUUUUAAGUUGUCUUGCCUAUGGAGAAGAAGACUUAUACCUUUUGAUAUGGAAGAAAGGAACUAGCUUCAAGAAUAUAGAGCUGAUAAUGACUUUGAUGUUACAAGACUUACAGUCAAGCUGAAAUACUGGUGUCAGGAACGG